ACCUUUUUAGCUCAGUUAGAAGAGCAUGAGACUCUUAAUCGCAGGGUUGUGGGUUCGAGUCUGGCAUUGGGCA
Molecule: non-coding RNA, 73 nt
Organism: Podarcis lilfordi (Lilford's wall lizard)
Lineage: Eukaryota; Metazoa; Chordata; Lepidosauria; Squamata; Lacertidae
Source: the annotation of a GenBank genome assembly